Molecule: ribosomal RNA, 467 nt
Filed under: uncultured bacterium
Lineage: Bacteria
Description: partial 16S ribosomal RNA
Rfam family: Bacterial small subunit ribosomal RNA
Source: RNAcentral
GACGAACGCUGGCGGCGUGCUUAACACAUGCAAGUCGAACGGAAAGGCCCUGCUUUUGUGGGGUGCUCGAGUGGCGAACGGGUGAGUAACACGUGAGUAACCUGCCCUUGACUUUGGGAUAACUUCAGGAAACUGGGGCUAAUACCGGAUAGGAGCUCCUGCUGCAUGGUGGGGGUUGGAAAGUUUCGGCGGUUGGGGAUGGACUCGCGGCUUAUCAGCUUGUUGGUGGGGUAGUGGCUUACCAAGGCUUUGACGGGUAGCCGGCCUGAGAGGGUGACCGGCCACAUUGGGACUGGGGUACGGCCCCGACUCCUACGGGAGGCAGGAGUGGGGAAUAUUGCACAAUGGGCCGAAGCCUGAUGCAGCAACGCCGCGUGCGGGAUGACGGCCUUCGGGUUGUAAACCGCUUUCGCCUGUGACGAAGCGUGAGUGACGGUAAUGGGUAAAGAAGCACCGGCUAACUACGU